Long non-coding RNA from Triticum urartu, 2543 nucleotides. RefSeq lists it as uncharacterized. Lineage: Eukaryota; Viridiplantae; Streptophyta; Magnoliopsida; Poales; Poaceae. The record is from RefSeq and is a predicted model, not a curated record.
UCCGACCCGCCCAGGCCCGAGUGCCGCAGCCGCCACCACCAGUGCCCGCGGAGCGCCCGACCCAGAGUUUCCUUCUCCCGUGCGGUUCCUCCCCGGCCUCCCUCGUGCCGCCCCAACCUCCACCGCCUCCCACCACAUCUCACCGGCAGCCCAGAAACUCCGCGCCACCUGCCGCCCCUACCUAGCAGCGCGACCCGACCCCUUCCACCACCCGCGCUAUUGCGCUCCUCCCGCGUAUGGCCACCAGCGCCGGAUCCGGCCACCGCGGAGCGCUGCGGCGCCAACCACCGCCUACAGCGCUAGAUCCGGUCGUCCCCGGCCAUCUACCACCUUCUUCUACCUUGAGCCGUAGGAGAGAUCCCCCCUCUCUCCGCAGUUUGGCGCUGGAAGCCAGGCUCAUGGACCACGCCGCUGUGACUGGAUGGGCCGUUCCCCUCGUCCCUUCUUCCUCACAUGCGAGCAUGCGCAGCUCACAUGUCGCUCACUUCUCUGUUAAGGAGGUGAGCAGGUGGUCCACCACCUUCCUCUGGCUGUCACCUCCACGACACCCACCCACAUGGUGGACCGCAGUGAAGAUGUCGGCCAUCUCACGGUGAAAAUCCCAGCCGGCGCGGACUUGCAAUUUGUUUCGUGUGCGUGCAAUACUCCAGGUGCAGUGCAUCGGCCACGCUGCUUGCGUUCAGGCAUCACGGGAGUUGCAGUUCGGUGCAGUGGCAAAAGUUUGAUUUGUGCAAUUUAAGGUUAAGUUUUCAGUUCAGCUCCCUGUUUCACGGGAUAUGUGUAGUUCAGUACUGCGUGCUAGCAGAUUCAGUGUUGUUGUGUGUGUGCAGUGCAGUUCAUCGGUGGGGCAAUCUGGCUGGUGGCCAUGUGUUGUUCUUGCUCCUACCUCGGAUCCAAUUCUCCACGACAUCCAGGUCUGUGAGUGUGGUUUGGGCAGCACAUGCAGCUGACAGCGCGGUGUUGGUUUAGCUCGUUGGCAUGCGGUUCUGUACCGCGGGCGUGCAGCUCACCAGUGUCAAGCUUGCAGUUCCUUGGCGUUGGCAAUCAAUUCUUGUUGGCGUGCCUCUCUAGGCUCCUACCAUAGACCUGGAUAUGUGGAUAGAUUUCAUUUAUUCAAUGGUUCAUUGAUGCACGAGUAAACUUGCAAAGCGGCAUCCUGCUUAUGUAGCUUUCCGUCCAUUGACUAGCCGGCUAUCCAUGCAACUGGUAAUGACUGUGCAGCAGCCAAACAUAAAUAAAAAUCAUACAUCCGGCCUAUAAUCCCUUGCAAUUGAUUAUAUAUUUUAACAAACACGAGAUGACAAAACAUCAUUUAAUUUUAAGAGAAUCAAUAAAUUAUAGAAACUGAAGUGGCAUAUAUAUGACGGUUUGAUCUGUAGGCCUUUUAUGUUUUUUUCCAAAAGCAGAGAAGGCAGAAGAAUCUCAUCUCCAACGUGUUCAGCACAGAGAAGAUGAACCAUGCAAAAACUCAAGGUGGACCAUGGUGGCUUCACAGCUGGCGGAACGGCAGAGGGCUUGGCUGCUGCCAGGGUGAUUCAAAGGGAGUAUAUAGGUAGAGUUUUUGCAGCCUCUUGCACGAACAUGAUUAAUGGUAGCUUCUAUUCCAUGACAUGAUUUUGCAGCUGUAAUGAUAUGUUUCAUGCGAGAGGACAUAAAUUUGCAUCAUAUUUUUCUGUCCAGUUAGUUCCAAAUUACAAUGUUUGUGCUAUCAGUGACAAUUCGGUGGAAUAAGAUGAGUCAUAUAUACACCGAAUGUAAGCUUUCACAUCAGCCUUUGCUCUUGAUUGUCUUUGCAAGUCCAUAGAUAUAAUUUUUAGGAUUUUCCUUUACUCAUAGUAAGUGCUGAAUAUUUUGUCCUUUAACCCUUUAGGUGUAAAUACCUGUGAUGUGGCUAGCAAAGUUGGUAACACGCACAGUAUAACCAUUAUGAUCUGCACAGGGAUAUCACCUAGGUGCAUAAAUCAUAAUCAUUCAGAUUUUAUUUGGCAAGCUGGAGCUACCCGGAACUUUCGAUUUGGUGCCAAGAUGGAUGGACUCAACUGAGUGACCCACUGUCAGGUCAUAAAUCAUUUCUUUUGUUGAAGGAAGAGACUCCAUUUUCUGUUGAGGACCGAAUCGCACUAACCAAUCGGCUUACUUGGUUAGAAGAAACUGAGAAAGGGGAGCAUCUUACACCUAAUAGGAAGCGGUGGUCUAAUCCUAAUCCCACCCAAUAGACAUACAUUACUACAAAAUUUUCUUGCAUGCCGCCGCCCAUAUUUUUUCAUUACUAACAUAACCUUUUUAGAUCACCCGCAAAAAAAACCUUUUUAGGUCAAGCGUGCCUUGCAUUACAUUUGGUCUACUAUACUGCAACUUCAAACCACAAUCCCUCUGUAUGUUGACUGUAUUUUUUGGAAUUGAAUUAUGUAUUCAAAGCUAUUGUUCAGCAUAGACACCGUUUAAAAAUCAUACAAGGGGCACACAAAAUGUACAUGUACUCUUCUGUUUGAAUAUAUGUCUAUAAAUGGAUUAACUGAGCCAAAGGCAGUGCCUUUUUCAUA